Transfer RNA from Monodelphis domestica (gray short-tailed opossum), 72 nucleotides. It matches the Rfam family "tRNA". Rfam says of the family: Transfer RNA (tRNA) molecules are approximately 80 nucleotides in length. Their secondary structure includes four short double-helical elements and three loops (D, anti-codon, and T loops). Further hydrogen bonds mediate the characteristic L-shaped molecular structure. tRNAs have two regions of fundamental functional importance: the anti-codon, which is responsible for specific mRNA codon recognition, and the 3' end, to which the tRNAs corresponding amino acid is attached (by aminoacyl-tRNA synthetases). tRNAs cope with the degeneracy of the genetic code in two manners: having more than one tRNA (with a specific anti-codon) for a particular amino acid; and 'wobble' base-pairing, i.e. permitting non-standard base-pairing at the 3rd anti-codon position. The record is from Rfam. Lineage: Eukaryota; Metazoa; Chordata; Mammalia; Didelphimorphia; Didelphidae.
CAAAAUGUAGCUUAAUUUAUUAAAGCAUUUAGCUUACACCUAAAAGAUUUCAGUUAAUUCUGACCAUUUUGA